UACAGAGGUCUCAAGCGUUGUUCGGAAUUACUGGGCGUAAAGCGUGCGCAGGCGGCUUUGCAAGACAGAUGUGAAAUCCCCGGGCUUAACCUGGGAACUGCAUUUGUGACUGCAAGGCUAGAGUACGGUAGAGGGGGAUGGAAUUCCGCGUGUAGCAGUGAAAUGCGUAGAUAUGCGGAGGAACACCGAUGGCGAAGGCAAUCCCCUGGACCUGUACUGACGCUCAUGCACGAAAGCGUGGGGAGCAAACAGG
This 253-nucleotide ribosomal RNA is filed under the name uncultured bacterium. RNAcentral's name for it is "partial 16S ribosomal RNA". It matches the Rfam family "Bacterial small subunit ribosomal RNA", at positions 524 to 776 of the family's 1533-position model. The record is from RNAcentral.